Molecule: long non-coding RNA, 1752 nt
Filed under: Sus scrofa (pig)
Lineage: Eukaryota; Metazoa; Chordata; Mammalia; Artiodactyla; Suidae
Description: lncRNA (ENSSSCG00040057370.1, ENSSSCG00085004347.1)
Source: RNAcentral
AACAAAAGAAGACCCAAAGCAGAGAAGCCAGCUGCCCUGUAGCUGCCAAUUUCCUCUCAAAAAACCUGCCAAAGCAUUUCAGAGCCUGGCCCAUUCUAGCCCAUAGCUGAGCCCAGAGGGAGUUGGUUCUUGGUUUAAAUGAUGGCAAAGUGGGAAACAGCUCUGACAGACAAACAUGACAACCUGCCCCAUCUGGAUCAGCACUUCUCACAGGCAUUUUAGUCACCGUAACCAUCUCUUUCCACAUCCUGAAGGAGCCAACUCAAAGACAGCAGAGAGGCCUUGCAAAACAGAGCUGAGAUGCAGUUUGAGUGAACUCAUUUUCAUCUGCCUCUGAACUGCAGCCACUACCUACUCCAGACUUUUCCGAGAGUAACAGUCUAUGAAGAGAGAAGGAAUGCCAGGAGGCUUAAGGAAUUGGGAAAGAAAGGUUGGGGAUUCUUGAAAGAACUUCAGUUCAGAAUUGCUUCCAAGCUCUGCCUAGCUCUGGUAAUGUUUUCCUUAUUUGCCUGUGGAAGUGAGAAAAGCUGAAGGCAGAUUUCCUGUCCUAAGGAAGCUAGCUCCAAGACACAGACUUUUCUGCUCAGACAUCAGCUAAAAUUAAACUGUACAUGUUACAGCAUGGAUGAACUUUGAAAAUAUUAUGCUCAGGGAAAGAAGUCAGACACAGAAGGCCACAUUGUGUGAUUCCAUCUAUCUGGAAUGUCGAGAAUAGGCAAAUCCACAGACAGAAGAUAGAUGAGGGGUUAGCAGGGAGCUGGGGGAUGAGGGUAAUGAUGAGUGACCACUAAUGAGUACAGUUUCUUCGGGGGGUAAUGAAAAUAUUCUGGAACUAGACAGUAAUGACAGUUGGUGAGUAUGCCCCAAACCACUGAAUUGUACACUUUAAAUGGUACCACUUUAUAGUAUGAGAAUUAUAUUGUAAUAUUUUUUAAGGGGGGGGGGGACCAAACUGCAGUCAGUACCUUGACCUCAGAGAGGAGGCUCCUGCUCUUUAGAGCAGUGGUCCUUCAAACACGGUCCCCAGACCAACAGGAUCAGCAUCACUGAGAAAUUACCAGAAAUGCAAAUACGCAGGCUCCAUCCCAGACCCACACAAUUAGAUGGGGCCCUAUAAUCUAUGCUUUGAGAAGCCCUCCGGGUGAACAUCAUGUAUGUUCUCAAGAACCAUUACUUUUCUCCUCUUUUUCUUUUUCAUGACCUUUUAAAAAUGUAAAAACCAUUCAGUUCCCAGGCACACCAAAACAGAUAAUAGGAGUUCCCACUGUGGUUCAGCAGAAAUGAACCUGACUAGUGUCCAUGAUGUGGGUUCAAUCCCUGGCCCGGCUUAGUGGGUUGAGGAUCCAGUGCUGCCAUGAGCUAUGGUGUAAGCCAGAACUGGCGUUGCUGUGCCUGUGGCGUAGGCCAGCAGCUGUAGCUCCGAUACUUAGACCCCCAGCCUGGAAACUUCCAUGUGCCGCACCUUCGGCCCUACAAUAAAUAAAUAAAUAAAUUUAAAAAACAGGUAACAGGGAGUUCCUGUCGUGGUGCAGUGGUUAACGAAUCCGACUAGGAACCAUCAGGUUGCGGGUUCGAUCCCUGCCCUUGCUCAGUGGGUUAAGGAUCUGGUGUUGCCGUGAGCUGUGGUGUAGGUUGCAGACGCAGCUCGGAUCCCACAUUGCUGUGGCUCUGGCGGAGGCUGGCGGCUACAGCUCCAAUUCGACCCCUAGCCUGGGAACCUCCAUUUGCCGUGGGAGAGGCCCAAGAAAUGGC